RNAcentral lists this ribosomal RNA (342 nucleotides) under uncultured bacterium. Its description in RNAcentral is "bacterial SSU rRNA". It matches the Rfam family "Bacterial small subunit ribosomal RNA", at positions 29 to 396 of the family's 1533-position model. The record is from RNAcentral.
AACGAACGCUGGCGGCAGGCUUAACACAUGCAAGUCGAACGGGCGUAGCAAUACGUCAGUGGCGGACGGGUGAGUAACACGUGGGAAUAUGCCUUUCGGUUCGGAACAACUCGGGGAAACUCGUGCUAAUUCCGGAUACGCCCUUACGGGGAAAGAUUUAUCGCCGAAAGAUUAGCCCGCGUUGGAUUAGCUAGUUGGUGAGGUAAAGGCUCACCAAGGCGACGAUCCAUAGCUGGUUUGAGAGAACGACCAGCCACACUGGGACUGAGACACGGCCCUGACUCCUACGGGAGGCAGCAGGUGGGAAUCUUGGACAAUGGGCGCAAGCCUGAUCCAGCCAUG